CGCGCUCGCGGUGGAGCGGGGGGGAGAAACGGAGAGAUCUAGGGGGUUUCCGCACCUCCCCUGGGCGAGGAGGAAGGGAAGCGGCGGAGGUGGUGGGUAUAGCGCGUCGCCGGCGGUGAGGCUACCGGGCGGUGUGGGGAAGCAGCAGCCGAGCCGAGCAGGAUGGAGGAAGCCAGCCAGGAGGAGGAGGGGGGAGCAAAAAGGCUAGGGUUUGGUGCCCUGUCUCCGCGUGUACAUCUCGCGUGUGCGCAUAGCGGCACCGCUCGUACGUGGCGUGCCGUGAUUGGCUACGGGAUGAGGUGCGGCCUGCAGAGGAAUAAAAAGGGAUGACACGUCGAAGGGGCUUUUUUGACCCGGGUCCACGUGUCGGCGUCGUGUGCUGCGAAUCGGGGUGAGGGGGCGUGGUCGACGAAGCGAAUAGAAGGCACGGCGGUGCCAGUGUGAGGACAAGUAGCCCCGUUCGGUGGGACGGACGGUAGUGUACACCGGACGGCACGAGAGGGCCGAGGCCUGGCUAUAGGUGGUGCUCGGUUGGUGGGUGGGUCCUGGGCCGGGGUGUCAGGGGGCUUGGAUGGAGCGUGGGCCCACUGGGUACGUUGGCGCUGAGUCGGACACGCCGGGAUCCGCGCACUGAUUCGGUCGGGGACCGAGGACAGCGCGGCGCGCCGCUGCCCGGGCUUCUUGGGCCAGGCACCUUUUGGUUUCGCAUGUUUCCUUCCAUGGGCCGCUUUCCCGCUGCCGGCUUCUACGGACUGGAACCUUGGCCUCUAAUUCCAGUCACUACAAAUCUAUGUAGGUGAAGUACCCGUCAACAAUGACAAGACGCACGUGGUGACAAUGGUUUUCUGAAUCUUUCAAAAUCUGCUCGUAUGGGUGUUCGCGUUCAUAGGGGUGAGCGUCUUCGUUUGUGUUAUGUUUCUCACAAAAAAAGCGAUGUAUCCAAUGCAAACCUUCAUCCUUUGUAAACUUGCGAACUAUUCACGAACCACCGGAUCUAAAAUGUGCAGUGCAGAUCAAAGGUGGGAAUCAAAAUUCAAAACAGCCACUUAAGCACUCUA
Molecule: long non-coding RNA, 1058 nt
Organism: Brachypodium distachyon (stiff brome)
Lineage: Eukaryota; Viridiplantae; Streptophyta; Magnoliopsida; Poales; Poaceae
Exons: 2
Source: RefSeq, a predicted model, not a curated record